UACAGAGGAGCCAAGCGUUGUCCGGAUUGACUGGGCGUAAAGCGCACGCAGGCGGUUGCGCGCGUGGGGUGUGAAAUCUGGCCGCUUAACGGCCAGGCGCCAUCCCAUACGGCGCGACUGGAGUGAUGCAGAGGUCGAUGGAAUUGCCGGUGUAGUGGUGAAAUGCGUAGAGAUCGGCAGGAACACCCAGGGGGAAACCAGUGGACUAGCACGGAGCUGACGCUCAGGUGCGAAAGCGUGGGGAGCGAACCGG
RNAcentral lists this ribosomal RNA (253 nucleotides) under uncultured bacterium. Its description in RNAcentral is "partial 16S ribosomal RNA". It matches the Rfam family "Bacterial small subunit ribosomal RNA", at positions 524 to 776 of the family's 1533-position model. The record is from RNAcentral.